UACGUAGGGGGCGAACGUUGUCCGGAAUUAUUGGGCGUAAAGCGCGUGUAGGCGGUUCUGUAAGUCAAAUGUUAAAUCCCCGGGCUCAACCCGGGUUCGCAUUUGAUACUGCGGGACUGGAGAGAUGUAGAGGGAAGCGGAACUACCGGUGUAGCGGUGAAAUGCGUAGAUAUCGGUAGGAACACCAGUGGCGAAGGCGGCUUCCUGGACAUUUUCUGACGCUGAGACGCGAGAGCAAGGGGAGCAAACGGG
RNAcentral lists this ribosomal RNA (252 nucleotides) under uncultured bacterium. RNAcentral describes it as "partial 16S ribosomal RNA". It matches the Rfam family "Bacterial small subunit ribosomal RNA", at positions 524 to 776 of the family's 1533-position model. The record is from RNAcentral.